Molecule: long non-coding RNA, 824 nt
Organism: Cygnus olor (mute swan)
Lineage: Eukaryota; Metazoa; Chordata; Aves; Anseriformes; Anatidae
Exons: 3
Source: RefSeq, a predicted model, not a curated record
UUUCCCUGUAGCUUCUCUCUCUGGGAGUCUGAGGAUGACAGAAAGGGUAGUGGGCUGUUUGCUCCCUCUUAAUCCCCUUUCUGAGGGUUUCCCUCCACAGUUGGAGAUCAAGGGCUGGUCAUAAAGGAAGAUAGAAAGUUUCCCAGCUGAGAUUUGAGUUCCAGUCUCUCUCUCCUCCCAGUACUAUCAGUGUAUCAGAUUUUGGAAGAUUGACCAUUUCCUUGGCUAAUCAAAAUAAAGGGGAAUAGAAGAGGAGUGUAAAUUCUCAGGAACAAUUACUUUCAGAUCAUUGCUAAAGGUACAGAAUAGCAUGGAGUCCAGGGGAGGUACCUGUGGGACCCAAUUAGAAAUGGCUGCACUGAAGGCUGAUGUAUCAUCAACAAUUAUAUUCUGAGAUCUAGAAGUUAGCCAGUUUUUAAACCCAAGCUAAUCAUGCCAUAUUCGUUUGUUAAGUACAUAUAAAAACAAAGCCAGGUCGAAGAUACCCGGAUUAACUCUUGGCAUCAGCAGCCCACUAAAAAACCUAUGAAGCUUCCUUGUAUUGGGAGGAAAAAAAAAAAAAAAACACCCAGUCCCAAGUCUUUCAUUUCCAACAUGACCUUCACAAGGCAGCAUGUUAGUGUCAGCUUCAUUCUCAUGUCUCUUUCCUGCUAAGAAGGGUUCAUCUCCUGGUGCCCAAGAAGAUGCAGGGACAAGGGAACUAAAAAACAAUAAAAAGGCACCUUCAGAACCUGUUCCCUUGGGCUCGGUGUUCUUGGCAAGCAGAUAAAGAAUUUUAGAGGCUCUUGGAAAUGGGUGUUGCAACUCUAUAAGAAAACCAUCCU